Molecule: long non-coding RNA, 1290 nt
Organism: Notolabrus celidotus (New Zealand spotty)
Lineage: Eukaryota; Metazoa; Chordata; Actinopteri; Labriformes; Labridae
Exons: 2
Source: RefSeq, a predicted model, not a curated record
CUUUAAAAUGCACCCCUUUUCCUGAGGUGUGCCCAAGAUGGUGCUUGGUCAACUUUAAAUGAUUUGAAGUGAUCGAUGUGAUCAGCCACAGCUGGGAUGUGAUGAGGACGCAGACAGAUGUAACCACGAAAGACCCAACCACAGAGAGAGCCCACAAACUUUGGAGAACCAGUACAGCUUUUAAAACUUAAUGCAACCAAAAAAAAGAAAACUUGAACUCACCGACGAAGCUUGGGCUCCCCAUCCACCGCUACGCCGUCAAGACCGGCGUGCAGAAGCAUCAACCCUGGCCUUGGGUGAUCACAUGGAGAACCAUUAUCCUUCCCUGCUGUAGACAUUGUUACAAACUGCCUGAUAUGAGUGACUUGUUACGUUGCUUCUGCUGCCACCAUGGAGACACAGAGCUACAAGAACAGAAAAGAAAAAUCCUCAGCUGAAUUCAGAGCAAUAGUAGUGAGUUACAAGAACAUUCAUAGAAAUGCAGUGGAGUCAAAAGGACAUUAUUUGUCUUUCAGGUGUAGCAGAGUAGAAGAAAUAACUUACCCCCCAAAAUAAAGUGCAGAUACCCAAAAAAUGCACCAAAGUACAGUACUCAAGUAAAUAUUAUUCGUACUGUCUACCACUGAUUGUAUGCUGAUCCUUUCAGGGUCGCCAUUUUUGGACAUUUUUUAUAACUUUAUUUUUCAAUUGUGUAACACCAAUGUAACAUACAACAUCUAUGGACAUUACACUGUGUGGCAUUAUAUUUCUUGGCUGUUUCACACUUUAAUGUUUCAGCUGCUUUGUUAAGUAUAUUCUUAGGAAAAGCAUCAUAUGUCUACGGAAGAGUAUCCUAUUCACACGAGAAAAAAAACUCUGUUCUGUUUAUGAAUUAACAAAAUAACCGGUGCCUCAGUUGCACUUUGUGAGCAUUUUAGAUGCAUCGUUUUAUAUCAAUGAAGCAUGCCAUAUCUGCUUAGCUGAUCCUGGAGAAAUGCUGCAACGUCAAGCAGAUCAGAAUGGACCUAACGUUGAAACAACAAGUCCUCAGGUGCCUGCGCAAUGUUGACAAUAUCAUCUAUGUUACUUAUAGACACUAGAAUCUCCCAAUGUCUUGAACCCAAAGUAAAAAAAAGAAGAUUAAACUGAACGAAGGGGGCAUGUUUAGGCUCCUUCCAAUUGUGUGGCCUUGAGGUACUGUUGGGAUUUUACUGUAGAGGUAUGUCGUUAAUUCAGAAAAACAGAGACAACUUUUUUAUUCCGAUGUAAAUGCAAUACGCUUCCGAAUAAAUCCACCUUAGUUCUUGGUUA